RNAcentral lists this long non-coding RNA (232 nucleotides) under Mustela putorius furo (domestic ferret). Its description in RNAcentral is "lncRNA (ENSMPUG00000024517.1)". The record is from RNAcentral. Lineage: Eukaryota; Metazoa; Chordata; Mammalia; Carnivora; Mustelidae.
CUUGACUCCAGUUCCGGGGUAUUCUACGAUAGGUUUACAACUGGAAUGAACAUCGUUGAUGCUGUCAGUGUACCUUAAGAAGAGAGGCCACUGGAAUCCUGAAAAACCUGCUUUCUCAAUACACAUGGAGAAUGGAUCCAAGCAGCAAAAGGAGAUGGACGACGUGGAGAUCCAUGGCCCAGGACCUCCUUUCAAGGAAGGACAGAGGUACAGCCCCGCUCGGGGAGAGGGG